AGAUGGCGACCGGCGCACGGGUGAGUAACACGUAUCCAACCUGCCGAUGACUCGGGGAUAGCCUUUCGAAAGAAAGAUUAAUACCCGAUGGCAUAGUUCUUCCGCAUGGUGGAACUAUUAAAGAAUUUCGGUCAUCGAUGGGGAUGCGUUCCAUUAGGUUGUUGGCGGGGUAACGGCCCACCAAGCCUUCGAUGGAUAGGGGUUCUGAGAGGAAGGUCCCCCCACAUUGGAACUGAGACACGGUCCAAACUCCUACGGGAGGCAGCAUG
Molecule: ribosomal RNA, 269 nt
Filed under: uncultured bacterium
Lineage: Bacteria
Description: partial 16S ribosomal RNA
Rfam family: Bacterial small subunit ribosomal RNA
Source: RNAcentral